RNAcentral lists this ribosomal RNA (571 nucleotides) under Pseudognaptodon sp. QL-2014. RNAcentral describes it as "partial 12S ribosomal RNA". The record is from RNAcentral. Lineage: Eukaryota; Metazoa; Arthropoda; Insecta; Hymenoptera; Braconidae.
AUUUAUUUUAAUAAAUAUAUUUUUAAUAAUAAAAAAAUAAAAUUUUUAAUGAAAUAAAAUUUUAUUAAUUUAUUAUAAAUUUAAAAUAUUAAAUUUUAAAAAUUUUUUAAAAAACUAGGAUUAGAUACUCUAUUAUUAAAAUAAAUUUUAAAAAAAAUUAAUUAUUAAAUAUUUUAAAUACUAAAAUUAAAAAAUUUGACGGUAUUUUAUUUAAUUAGAGGAAUUUAUUUUUUAAUAGAUAAUAAACUAAAAAAAAUACUUAAUUUUUUAUAUUUAUAUAUUGUUGUUUUAAAAUUUAAAUUAAAAUUUAAAAUUAAAUUUUUUUUUUAUAAAAUUAAAUUCAAAUCAUAAUAUAAUUUAUAUUUAAGUAAAAAAGAAUUACAUUAAAUUAAAAAAUAAUUUUAAAAAAAUAUUUUUUUAAAAAAAUAGAAUUUAAUAAUAAAAUUUAUAAAUUAAUAAGUUUUAAAUAAAAUAUUAAAAUAUGUACAUAUCGCCCGUCAUUCUUAUAAUUAUAAGACAAGUCGUAACAAAGUAAAUUUAUUGGAAAAUGAAUUUAAAUUAUAAAUAAUAU